RNAcentral lists this transfer RNA (85 nucleotides) under Actinomycetes bacterium. RNAcentral describes it as "Actinobacteria bacterium tRNA-Leu". It matches the Rfam family "tRNA". From Rfam's summary of the family: Transfer RNA (tRNA) molecules are approximately 80 nucleotides in length. RNAcentral also lists the same sequence under 2 other names. The record is from RNAcentral. Lineage: Bacteria; Bacillati; Actinomycetota; Actinomycetes.
GCCCGGGUGUCGGAAUUGGCAGACGAUGUGGCCUUAAAAGCCACGGUCCCUCUGGGACGUGUGGGUUCGAAUCCCACCCCGGGCA